AAGUGCCGAUUCAGAACUAUUAAUUAAUUGAUAUGACAUGAUUAGAGAAGACUCACCAACCAGAGGCCUCUUCUUCUAACAAUCAGGGUCCCUACAGAAAUAAUGUUAAUCAGCAACAGCUGAUAUAUUUCCUGAUAACGAGGUUCAACUCACAUAAUCAACGCUUCUGCCUGAUGCGUUGUACAUUUCUCUUCUCGCUAAUAAAAACAGUGAGAAGAAGAUUUGAUUAGAGAUUCAGAGGCCUUGAAGCUUCAGCCCAGAACUUCUACCUUUUCUAUUGGAUGAAUCUGCAGCAGCGGUCUCGGCGUGAAGCAGGACCUGCUGUGUGUUUUAUGUAGAGAGGCAGAAAGUAGGAGUGGAGGAUGAAGUACACAAAUCCUGGACUUGAGUAAAACGUACAGGUAUGUGUGUGAUUCACAGUGUGCGGCGGCGGUUGUGCAGUUCCUCGGUUUGUUUAGGAGGUGACAUCAUCUCUACACCUGAGGCGGCGGAGCUGACACCUCCAUCUCUCAGACAGAUCCUGCAGAGAGACAGACGGGGGCCGGCGGAGGACCGGAGGACCGGCAGGGGACCGGGACUGAGCGGCCGCAGCAGCCGAAAGUCAGCUUCAUCCUGCGGACGGAUGUCCAGACAUGUUGUUCAGUUGAGCAGAUUUCCGGCGAGCCGGCUGCCGUCUGUUGCAGACAGACGCUCAGGAACCUUCAGCAGAGCGGCGUCUCACUUUAAACGUCUCUCCCCCCCCCUCCGGGACGCUGGCUCGGUUUGGCACCAAAAUCGAGUGUUCAGUCAACAGCUGUGACCACGCUGAAGCUCACCGUCAGUCCAACCCCAACAGGAAGUCCGUUUUUUUGAAGCUCCUCCCUCGUGGCUGAUCAGAGUUUUUUGUCACUUUUUUGUUUUUACUUUAUCGUUGUCCGUAACAGGAGAGUUUUGACCUCCUGGUGUUUGCAUGAGCGGUGAUGCCUUCAGGGACGUCUAGUCGUCGCUGAUGACGUCCACGUCCUCCCCCCCGGGCUGCUGUGUGGCUGCUCUCCAGCGGUUGAUGUGCUGACUGCCCUUCCUCUUCUGCUGAGCUUCUGGAGACUCUUCCUCCAACUUCUGACGCUUGUGCUUCGUCCUGCGGUUCUGAAACCAAACCUUCACCUGCACACCGACAGAGAGAGAGACAGGUGUGUCUUAAUACAGUGAAAUGAGCUCAUAAAUAAAUCUGGGAUGAUUCACAUCGUUUCGCUGGCGUCAGGACUCGUAUCGCUGUGGCGACCCGAUGACAAACGCUGUCAAUCAUUCCUGAGAAAAGGGGCAGGGAGCGCCUCGGAGCUGACUAACCGUCGACUCACGGUCCCUCCCCUCCCCAGUCACUGGACCGCCGCCAGUUGCCUUCAGAUCAUACCUGAGCUCAUCCUGAGAAACACGACGACAUAACGGAAGACUCGCCGGAAAGCAGCGAUGUUUCAGCGCUGACGUUGCUGAGCAAGGCACUGACGCCAGCAGAGUUGGGGGUUUAAAUCCCGGGAGGUAUGAUGUACACUUAACUACUGAGGAAUCAACUGCCAUCAUUUUUUAUUUUCACUAUUUUAUUUACUUUCAUUUGUGACAUUUCAGUGAGUAAAAUUUUAUUGAAGUUACUUUUUUAAAGUGGUAAUAUUAUGCACAUUUUCAGGUUCAUAAUUUUAUGUAAGGGAAUGCACCAGAACAGGUUUGUGUUUGUCAGACUGUACAUCGCUGCAUCGUGUGUUGAACUCUCCAUUUUAGCUACCGAGUGAAGCAUCUCAUCAAUCACUCAAUCUUUGUUGGGAGUUUCACAUGUGCAGUACCUAGUUAAGGCCUCUAGCCAAUCAGAAGCAGAGUAGGGUGGGUCCUAAACACAAGGUUUAGCUGUACAUGUUCCCAAACCUGCUUUUAAGUAUAAUUUCUACUGAAAGAAUUCUUAAUAUAUAAAAUUCAGAAUAUCUGUGUUUGAGACUAUAUUCCAAAUUAAUUAAUUAUUUUUUUACUGACUUUCACUGCAAGUUGUUCUUGUCAACUUGACUUGUUAACUUUUAGUUUAGUUUUAUAUAUUCAGUGUAAUUUGUACAAUGAUUUCUAUACUAUCAGCUGGGGGAAGGCUCAGUUAUGUUAAUUGUGGUAAAUGUUAAAAAUUCAAUAAAUAAGACUGACAGUCAGAAA
This is a long non-coding RNA of Micropterus dolomieu (smallmouth bass), 2166 nucleotides long. RefSeq lists it as uncharacterized. Lineage: Eukaryota; Metazoa; Chordata; Actinopteri; Centrarchiformes; Centrarchidae. The transcript has 6 exons. The record is from RefSeq and is a predicted model, not a curated record.